UACAGAGGUCUCAAGCGUUGUUCGGAUUCAUUGGGCGUAAAGGGUGCGUAGGCGGCGCGGUAAGUCGGAUGUGAAAUCUCGGAGCUUAACUCCGAAACUGCAUUCGAUACUGCCGUGCUUGAGGACUGGAGAGGAGACUGGAAUUUCCGGUGUAGCGGUGAAAUGCGUAGAUAUCGGAAGGAACAUCGGUGGCGAAAGCGGCGCGCUGGACCUCUUCUGACGCUGAGGCGCGAAAGCCAGGGGAGCAAACGGG
RNAcentral lists this ribosomal RNA (253 nucleotides) under uncultured prokaryote. Its description in RNAcentral is "partial 16S ribosomal RNA". It matches the Rfam family "Bacterial small subunit ribosomal RNA", at positions 524 to 776 of the family's 1533-position model. The record is from RNAcentral.